CCUACGGGCGGCUGCAGUGGGGAAUAUUGGACAAUGGGGACAACCCUGAUCCAGCCAUGCCGCGUGUGUGAAGAAGGCCCUCGGGUUGUAAAGCACUUUCAGUGAGGAAGAACGCCUGGUGGUUAAUACCCAUCAGGAAAGACAUCACUCACAGAAGAAGCACCGGCUAACUCCGUGCCAGCAGCCGCGGUAAUACGGAGGGUGCGAGCGUUAAUCGGAAUUACUGGGCGUAAAGCGCGCGUAGGUGGCUUGAUAAGCCGGUUGUGAAAGCCCCGGGCUCAACCUGGGAACGGCAUCCGGAACUGUCAAGCUAGAGUGCAGGAGAGGAAGGUAGAAUUCCCGGUGUAGCGGUGAAAUGCGUAGAGAUCGGGAGGAAUACCAGUGGCGAAGGCGGCCUUCUGGACUGACACUGACACUGAGGUGCGAAAGCGUGGGUAGCAAACAGGAUUAGAUACCCCAGUAGUC
Molecule: ribosomal RNA, 465 nt
Filed under: Vreelandella stevensii
Lineage: Bacteria; Pseudomonadati; Pseudomonadota; Gammaproteobacteria; Oceanospirillales; Halomonadaceae
Description: partial 16S ribosomal RNA
Rfam family: Bacterial small subunit ribosomal RNA
Source: RNAcentral